CCAGAGAACUUUCCAGAGAUGGAUUGGUGCCUUCGGGAACUCUGAGACAGGUGCUGCAUGGCUGUCGUCAGCUCGUGUUGUGAAAUGUUGGGUUAAGUCCCGCAACGAGCGCAACCCUUAUCCUUUGUUGCCAGCGGUUAGGCCGGGAACUCAAAGGAGACUGCCAGUGAUAACUGGAGGAAGGUGGGGAUGACGUCAAGUCAUCAUGGCCCUUACGAGUAGGGCUACACACGUGCUACAAUGGCGCAUACAAGAGAAGCGACCUCGCGAGAGCAAGCGGACCUCAUAAAGUGCGUCGUAGUCCGGAUUGGAGUCUGCAACUCGACUCCAUGAAGUCGGAAUCGCUAGUAAUCGUGGAUCAGAAUGCCACGGUGAAUACGUUCCCGGGCCUUGUACACACCGCCCGUCACACCAUGGGAGUGGGUUGCAAAAGAAGUAGGUAGCUUAACCUUCGGGAGGGCGCUUACCACUUUGUGAUUCAUGACUGGGGUGAAGUCGUAACAAGGUAAGCGUAGUGCU
Molecule: ribosomal RNA, 519 nt
Filed under: uncultured bacterium
Lineage: Bacteria
Description: bacterial SSU rRNA
Rfam family: Bacterial small subunit ribosomal RNA
Source: RNAcentral